UGCCUUAGUAACUGCGAGUGAAGCGGCAAAAGCUCAAAUUUGAAAUCUGUCGCCUCCGGCGGCCGAGUUGUAAUUUGGAGGGAUAUCUUCGGGGACGGCGCCGCCCUAAGUUUCUUAGAACAGGACAUCAUAGAGGGUGAGAAUCCCGUGCCUGGGUGGCUGCCCCGUCUCCAUGUGAAGUGUCUCCGACGAGUCGAGUUGUUUGGGAAUGCAGCUCAAAAUGGGUGGUAAAUUUCAUCUAAAGCUAAAUAUUGGCGAGAGACCGAUAGCGCACAAGUAGAGUGAUCGAAAGAUGAAAAGCACUUUGAAAAGAGAGUUAAAAAGUACGUGAAAUUGUUGAAAGGGAAGCGCUUGCGACCAGACUUGAUCUUUGGUGAUCAGCCGGGCUUCUGUCCGGUGCCCUCGCCGCUGAUCAGGCCAGCAUCGGUUCCGGGGGCGGGAUAAAAGGCGGGGGAAUGUGGCUUCCUUCGGGGAGUGUUAUAGCCCCUGUCACAAUGCCGCCACCUGGGACCGAGGACCGCGCUUCGGCUAGGAUGCUGGCGUAAUGGUCUUAAGCGACCCGUCUUGAAACACGGACCAAGGAGUCUAACAUCUAUGCGAGUGUUCGGGUGGAAAACCCUUGCGCGUAAUGAAAGUGAACGUAGGUGUGAACCCGCGAGGGUGCAACAUCGACCGGUCCCGAUGUCUUCGGAAGGAUCUGAGUAAGAGCAUAGCUGUUGGGACCCGAAAGAUGGUGAACUAUGCCUGAAUAGGGUGAAGCCAGAGGAAACUCUGGUGGAGGCUCGCAGCGGUUCUGACGUGCAAAUCGAUCGUCAAAUUUGGGUAUAGGGGCGAAAGACUAAUCGAACCAUCUAGUAGCUGGUUCCUGCC
This 870-nucleotide ribosomal RNA is filed under the name Sphaerosporium lignatile. Its description in RNAcentral is "partial large subunit ribosomal RNA". It matches the Rfam family "Eukaryotic large subunit ribosomal RNA", at positions 76 to 962 of the family's 3401-position model. Lineage: Eukaryota; Fungi; Ascomycota; Pezizomycetes; Pezizales; Pyronemataceae. The record is from RNAcentral.